Long non-coding RNA from Podarcis raffonei (Aeolian wall lizard), 225 nucleotides. RefSeq lists it as uncharacterized. The transcript is spliced from 3 exons. The record is from RefSeq and is a predicted model, not a curated record. NCBI's taxonomy places the organism in Eukaryota, Metazoa, Chordata, Lepidosauria, Squamata, Lacertidae.
UGAAAUGCUUUUUUUACUUGUUUUUCAGGUAUUGAAGCUUCAGGAGGGAAGGUUGACUGCAGCAGGUAUCCGCAGCCACCACUUGGUGAUUGCCCACAAGAAUACAGGCCUGUGUGUGGCACUGAUGGUAUGACCUAUGCCCAUGUAUGCAUCUUGUGUGCACAAAUUUGGGCAACUGGAGUUCAAAUUGGCAUACGACACAGAGGAGCAUGCAGCUCACAAGGU